Molecule: long non-coding RNA, 570 nt
Filed under: Bos indicus x Bos taurus (hybrid cattle)
Lineage: Eukaryota; Metazoa; Chordata; Mammalia; Artiodactyla; Bovidae
Description: lncRNA (ENSBIXG00005024514.1)
Source: RNAcentral
GGCUGCAGUCCAUGGGGUUGCUAAGGGUCUGAAAUAACUGAGCAACUUCACUUUCACUUUUCACUUUCAUGCGUUAGAGAAGGAAAUGGCAACCCACUCCAGUGUUCUUGCCUGGAGAAUCCCAGGGACAGAGGAGCCUGGUGGGCUGCCGUCUAUGGGGUCGCACAGAGUCAGACACGACUGAAGCAACUUAGCAGCAGCAGCAGCAGCAGCAGCAGUCUGGAGUUCACUAGAUAAAGAGAUUCAGCUUCAAAGACGCUUGUGUGCUGCUGUAGCUUCAACCAAGAAAGAGUAUCGUGAAAAUACAAACUCAACCAACCAGACCUCAUUCAGGACAAAUUCACCAGCCCACCAGGCUCCUCUGUCCAUGGGAUUUUCUAGGCAAGAAUACUAGAGUGGAUUGCCAUUUCCUUCUCCAGAGGAUCUUUCCCAAGCCAGGAAUUGAACCCAGGUCUCCUGCAUUGCAUGCAGAUUCUUUACCAACUGAACUAUGAGGGAAGCUCAUAUAUUUUUCUUAUAUAUUAAUCUAUAUGUAUAUCCUAUAUGUGUGUGUGUGCAUUAAGUUGCUAC